AUCCAGCUGACGCAUCCCAAAAUAGGACGAUAUGCUCGUCCUGGAU
Molecule: non-coding RNA, 46 nt
Filed under: Schistosoma mansoni
Lineage: Eukaryota; Metazoa; Platyhelminthes; Trematoda; Strigeidida; Schistosomatidae
Source: RNAcentral